CUUCGGGACGUUGAGACAGGUGGUGCAUGGUGUCGUCAGCUCGUGUCGUGAGAUGUUGGGUUAAGUCCCGCAACGAGCGCACCCUUAUUACUAGUUACUACGCAAGAGGACUCUAGUGAGACUGCCGUUGACAAACGGAGGAAGGUGGGGAUGACGUCAAAUCAUCAUGCCCUUUAUGACCUGGGCUACACACGUACUACAAUGGCUAUUAACAGAGAGAAGCGAGACCGCAAGGUGGAGCAAACCUCAGAAAAAUAGUCUCAGUCCGGAUUGGGGGCUGCAACCCGCCCCCAUGAAGCCGGAAUUGCUAGUAAUCGCGGAUCAGCAUGCCGCGGUGAAUACGUUCCCGGGCCUUGUACACACCGCCCGUCACACCAUGAGAGCCGGGGGGACCCGAAGUCGGUAGUCUAACCGCAAGGAGGACGCCGCCGAAGGUAAAACUGGUGAUUGGGGUGAAGUCGUAACAAGGUAACCGUAAAGGGCGAAUUCGGAGCCUGCUUUUGUACAAAGUGCAUA
Molecule: ribosomal RNA, 516 nt
Filed under: uncultured Anaerofilum sp.
Lineage: Bacteria; Bacillati; Bacillota; Clostridia; Eubacteriales; Oscillospiraceae
Description: bacterial SSU rRNA
Rfam family: Bacterial small subunit ribosomal RNA
Source: RNAcentral